GAUGAACGCUGGCGGCGUGCCUAAUACAUGCAAGUCGAGCGAACAGACGAGGAGCUUGCUCCUCUGACGUUAGCGGCGGGCGGGUGAGUAACACGUGGAUAACCUACCUAUAAGACUGGGAUAACUUAGGGAAACCGGAGCUAAUACCGGAUAAUAUAUUGAACCGCAUGGUUCAAUAGUGAAAGACGGUUUUGCUGUCACUUAUAGAUGGAUCCGCGCCGCAUUAGCUAGUUGGUAAGGUAACGGCUUACCAAGGCAACGAUGCGUAGCCGACCUGAGAGGGUGAUCGGCCACACUGGAACUGAGACACGGUCCAGACUCCUACGGGAGGCAGCAGUAGGGAAUCUUCCGCAAUGGGCGAAAGCCUGACGGAGCAACGCCGCGUGAGUGAUGAAGGUCUUCGGAUCGUAAAACUCUGUUAUUAGGGAAGAACAAAUGUGUAAGUAACUAUGCACGUCUUGACGGUACCUAAUCAGAAAGCCACGGCUAACUACGUG
This 497-nucleotide ribosomal RNA is filed under the name uncultured bacterium. RNAcentral's name for it is "partial 16S ribosomal RNA". It matches the Rfam family "Bacterial small subunit ribosomal RNA", at positions 28 to 507 of the family's 1533-position model. The record is from RNAcentral.